UAGCUAGUUAUUGUAAUCGUCUUAAUAAUUUAGAAGGUAGUCGUUAGACGCAAAUGAAAUACCUUUAUUUAUUAAUGAUAGUUACUAUGCUUAAUAAGCUAAUAUGACUAGUGGGUAGUUUAACUGGGACGGUUUCCUCCAAUAAAGUAUCGGAGGACCUCAAAGGUAUGCUGAUGUUAGAUGGAAGCUAACAUGUCAUGAGGACAUACAAAAGCCCAUAGGUAUAUGCAUGCUUAACUGCAAGACCCAUAAGUCAAAGCAGAUACUUAAGUAGGACUAAGUGAUCCGCUAGUUCUAUAUGGAUAGGCUAGCGCUCAAGA
This 320-nucleotide ribosomal RNA is filed under the name Cryptococcus neoformans. RNAcentral describes it as "LSU rRNA". It matches the Rfam family "Bacterial large subunit ribosomal RNA", at positions 2107 to 2453 of the family's 2925-position model. Lineage: Eukaryota; Fungi; Basidiomycota; Tremellomycetes; Tremellales; Cryptococcaceae. The record is from RNAcentral.